UGGCUUGGACUUUCUCACCCUGGGGCAGGC
This 30-nucleotide non-coding RNA is filed under the name Cricetulus griseus (Chinese hamster). The record is from RNAcentral. Lineage: Eukaryota; Metazoa; Chordata; Mammalia; Rodentia; Cricetidae.